RNAcentral lists this ribosomal RNA (495 nucleotides) under uncultured bacterium. RNAcentral's name for it is "partial 16S ribosomal RNA". It matches the Rfam family "Bacterial small subunit ribosomal RNA", at positions 28 to 507 of the family's 1533-position model. The record is from RNAcentral.
GACGAACGCUGGCGGCGUGCCUAAUACAUGCAAGUAGAACGCUGAAGGAGGAGUUUCCUUCUGUGGAUGAGUUGCGAACGGGUGUGUAACGCGUAUGUAACCUGCCUGGUAGUGGGGGAUAACUAUUGGAAACGAUAGCUAAUACCGCAUAAGAGUAGAUGUUGCAUGACAUUUGCUUAAAAGGUGCAAUUUUAUCACUACCAGGUGGACUUUCGUUGUAUUAGCUAGUUGGUGGGGUAACGGCUUACCAAGGCGACGAUACAUAGCCGAACUGAGAGGGUGAGCAGCCAGACUGGGACUGAGACCCGCCACAGACGCACUCGGGCAGGAGCAAGACGGCAACUGCAGCAAUGGGCGGAAGUCAGACCGAAAAACGCCGAAUGCGUGAAGAAGGACGUCGGGUCGGAGAGCACUGUUGUCAGGGAAGAAAGAGUGUGAGAGUGGAAAGUACCCACUGUGACGGUAUCUUAACAGGAAGCGACGGCUAACUACGUG